RNAcentral lists this transfer RNA (73 nucleotides) under Planctomycetaceae bacterium. RNAcentral describes it as "tRNA-Lys". It matches the Rfam family "tRNA". Rfam says of the family: Transfer RNA (tRNA) molecules are approximately 80 nucleotides in length. Their secondary structure includes four short double-helical elements and three loops (D, anti-codon, and T loops). Further hydrogen bonds mediate the characteristic L-shaped molecular structure. tRNAs have two regions of fundamental functional importance: the anti-codon, which is responsible for specific mRNA codon recognition, and the 3' end, to which the tRNAs corresponding amino acid is attached (by aminoacyl-tRNA synthetases). tRNAs cope with the degeneracy of the genetic code in two manners: having more than one tRNA (with a specific anti-codon) for a particular amino acid; and 'wobble' base-pairing, i.e. permitting non-standard base-pairing at the 3rd anti-codon position. The record is from RNAcentral. Lineage: Bacteria; Pseudomonadati; Planctomycetota; Planctomycetia; Planctomycetales; Planctomycetaceae.
GAAGGCGUAGCUCAGCUGGUAGAGCAACGGACUUUUAAUCCGUAGGUCGAGGGUUCGAGUCCCUCCGCCUUCA